CAAAUUUUAAAGCUAUCCUGUCAGUUUUUUCCCCUUUAGUACUUUACAGAGACUAGUACUCUUCUCCCUGUUUUUCACUGUUAUCUAAUUUAUUGUUAUCUGACAUUUAUUUUGCUUUUGUGUCACACGAAAACUGUGAUACCUAAAUAAGGAUUUGGGAAGCUUUUAGGUUCCUGACACACAAAAAAGCCAAACCAAACCCCAAACAACCAAAAAACAAACAACAAAACCUCCUGAUAAAGAGACACCAGUGGCUGUAGGCUGAAAGUUAAUUACCUUCUUGUCCUCACAUGUGUACACUGAGACUGUGAUACUGAACAGCAAGUUGUACCAUUGUUGUGGGUAAGAAGAACAAGCAAGGUGCAGUGCAACUGGUUAUGAUGUUCUGCUUCCAGGAUUGUACUCAUCAACAGAGGUGUAAAAUGUAUUCAAAGUCUUCAGAAUGCUUCUUCCAAAUAUUUUAUUCUUUGGUAUUUUAGUUCAUUAUAGGCUUCAUUAUUUCUUCCUCCAGCUUUUCUUCCUCCCUACAGCAGUUGCUUUCCAGACUUGGAGCUCCCUCCUCAGCCUCCCAAAGAGCUGUUUCCCAUCAUUGGUGUCAUGGAACUCUUGCCCUAAUUUCACUGACACCUUGAUUCUCUCUUGUAUCAAACACUGCAUUUGGGAUUGCACGGUUUCCACGAGACUGUAUUGCUGGUAA
This 697-nucleotide long non-coding RNA is filed under the name Numida meleagris (helmeted guineafowl). RNAcentral's name for it is "lncRNA (ENSNMEG00000012935.1)". Lineage: Eukaryota; Metazoa; Chordata; Aves; Galliformes; Numididae. The record is from RNAcentral.